AAGGCUUGACAUCGCCCGGAAAGCCGUAGAGAUACGGCCCCCCUUGUGGCCGGUGUACAGGUGGUGCAUGGCUGUCGUCAGCUCGUGUCGUGAGAUGUUGGGUUAAGUCCCGCAACGAGCGCAACCCUCGUUCCAUGUUGCCAGCGCGUAAUGGCGGGGACUCAUGGGAGACUGCCGGGGUCAACUCGGAGGAAGGUGGGGAUGACGUUACGGUCUUACU
Molecule: unclassified non-coding RNA, 220 nt
Filed under: uncultured Actinomycetes bacterium
Lineage: Bacteria; Bacillati; Actinomycetota; Actinomycetes
Description: uncultured actinobacterium contains 16S-23S intergenic spacer region
Rfam family: Bacterial small subunit ribosomal RNA
Source: RNAcentral